GAUGAACGCUGGCGGCGUGCCUAAUACAUGCAAGUCGAGCGAACAGACGAGGAGUUUGCUCCUCUGACGUUAGCGGCGGACGGGAGAGUAACACGUGGAUAACCUACCUAUAAGACUGGGAUAACUUCGGGAAAUCGGAGCUAAUACCGGAUAAUAUAUUGAACCGCAUGGUUCAAUAGUGAAAGACGGUUUUGCUGUCACUUAUAGAUGGAUCCGCGCCGCAUUAGCUAGUUGGUAAGGUAACGGCUUACCAAGGCAACGAUGCGUACCCGACCUGAGAGGGUGAUCGGCCACACUGGAACUGAGACACGGUCCAGACUCCUACGGUGGGCAGCAGUAGGGAAUCUUCCGGAAUGGGCGAAAGCCUGACGGAGCAACGCCGCGUGAGUGAUGAAGGUCUUCGGAUCGGAAAACUCUGUUAUUCGGGAAGAACAAAUGUGUAAGUAACUAUGCACAUCUUGACGGUACCUAAUCAAAAAGCCACGGCUAACUACGUG
RNAcentral lists this ribosomal RNA (497 nucleotides) under uncultured bacterium. RNAcentral's name for it is "partial 16S ribosomal RNA". It matches the Rfam family "Bacterial small subunit ribosomal RNA", at positions 28 to 507 of the family's 1533-position model. The record is from RNAcentral.